CCUACGGGAGGCAGCAGUGGGGAAUAUUGCACAAUGGGCGAAACUCUGAUGCAGCGAAGCAGCGUGAAUGAAGAAGUACUUCGUUACGUUAAGCUCCAUCUGCAGGGGAGAAAAUGACGGUACCUGAGUAUGAUGCUCUGGCUAACUACGUGACAGCAGCCGCGGUAUUACGUAGGGGGCAAGCGUUAGCCGGAUUUACUGGGUGUAAUGGGAGCGUAGACGGUGCGCGAAGUCUGGAGUGAAAGGCCGCAGCUGAACUGCGGAACUGCUGUGGAAACUGGCGAACUAGAGUGCGGGAGGGGAAAGCGGAAUUCCGAGUGUAGCGGUGAAAUGCGUAGAUAUUAGGAGGAACUCCGAUGGCGAAGGCGGCUGACUGGACCGUAACUGACGUUGAGGCUCGAAAGCGUGGGGAGCAAACAGGAUUAGAUACCCCAGUAGUC
RNAcentral lists this ribosomal RNA (440 nucleotides) under uncultured bacterium. Its description in RNAcentral is "partial 16S ribosomal RNA". It matches the Rfam family "Bacterial small subunit ribosomal RNA", at positions 338 to 795 of the family's 1533-position model. The record is from RNAcentral.